This 73-nucleotide transfer RNA is filed under the name Acidimicrobiia bacterium. RNAcentral's name for it is "tRNA-Thr". It matches the Rfam family "tRNA". From Rfam's summary of the family: Transfer RNA (tRNA) molecules are approximately 80 nucleotides in length. Their secondary structure includes four short double-helical elements and three loops (D, anti-codon, and T loops). The record is from RNAcentral. Lineage: Bacteria; Bacillati; Actinomycetota; Acidimicrobiia.
GCCGGAGUAGCUCAGACGGCAGAGCAGCUCACUCGUAAUGAGCAGGUCAGGGGUUCGAGUCCCCUCUCCGGCU